UACGAAGGGGGCUAGCGUUGCUCGGAAUUACUGGGCGUAAAGGGCGCGUAGGCGGAUAGUUUAGUCAGAGGUGAAAGCCCAGGGCUCAACCCUGGAAUUGCCUUUGAUACUGGCUAUCUUGAGUUCGGGAGAGGUGAGUGGAACUCCGAGUGUAGAGGUGAAAUUCGUAGAUAUUCGGAAGAACACCAGUGGCGAAGGCGAUGUUCUGGCUCGUUUCUGACGCUCAGGUGCGAAAGCCAGGGGAGCGAACGGG
Molecule: ribosomal RNA, 253 nt
Filed under: uncultured bacterium
Lineage: Bacteria
Description: partial 16S ribosomal RNA
Rfam family: Bacterial small subunit ribosomal RNA
Source: RNAcentral